GUUGGUUUCGAUGAUGCAGUUUUGAUUUAGUUUGUUGGUUCCUUGCUCUAUUUCUUGUAAGCUGAAUAUCUUCAUUCUUUCUGCAGUAUCUUUGUUUGAAGAUGCCAAAUGCUGUGAAAGUAAUUCAUGAUUUACUAGUUUGUAUCAGUUUUUUUUAUUUAUUUUUCUCCUAUAUUUCUGAUUAGCCUAAUUGCUGAUGCUUUCAGUUUGAGGCACAACUUGACUCAAAACUGAAUAAUGCAGUAGUAUAUUAUCUUUGUACGUCCUAUUAUCUCCUCCAAGUACUAUGGCUGGUAAACUAAAGCCUCUUCUGAUUUGCACCAAUCAGGGGUUACAUGUGUUCUUUAACAGGUAUGAAUGAAGCUAUGCUGUUAAUUUGUUAUAUAAUGAUUUAAGCCCAGCAGAUUGUUAGAAUGUUUAACCUAAGUUGAGCGUGUUAUCCAAUCUGCCUAGAAUGUUUACAGGCUAUGCUUUAUGCAAACAGAGGUAGGCAUUAACAGAUGCAAGCUGGCUCCGCUAGAUGGCAUCUAAUCUAUUUGUCAGUGCUAUAAAAACAUAUCUUCACAACUAUAUUGAGCUUUCACUGCUGCCCUUUGUAUUAAAACAUGUUAACGCUGGAUGUGAUACUGGCAACAUGAAUUAUCAGCUACCUAGAAUGUUACUGUCUGGAAAACAUAAUGCUAAGUCUAUCUGCGUAUUUGACAAUUUUCCUACUUACAUAUGAUGCCAAGUGUGCAUUAAAGUUUAUGCCCUUUUUGUUUGAUUGUCAGGCUGUGGCUGUAUACCGUUUGAUGUUGUGAGCUCUUGUUGCGGUACCGGAUAAACUCUUAAUAAUCCAUGCUUUCUGUGGAUUCUGUCUCCUCGUUAUGUCAGAUUGCAGAUAAAUUUUCAGGUCUUCAAGGAGACGUGGGAUAGGGAGGCAGGGUGGAGAUGUGCGCCGGAGAUCAGAAAUCUGACUGCCGGCGGCCGCCUCCAGUGGUUGUCGUUUGGUGGUCAGAUAGCUUGACCAGGGCACGAAAGCCAGGCAAGACCACAAGACUAAGAGGCAAACUCUUUUUUUUUCCUGUGAUGAACCACCCUUUUCAUUUGCCACUUGGACAGUUUGCUCUAUUCACGCCCUGUUUAGUUUGCUCUAUGAAAAUAUGCAAAGAUGGCUACAAACAAUUGCAAACAUGCCAUUUCAUCAAUUAUACUGUGUUGCCAGUUUAGAAAGUGGCAAAGUGCAUCAUUUCAUUUAUUUUUUCCGAACUCCCUUUUCGUGGUGUUUUCUAAUUUGUCUCUCUGUUUCCUGAUCUAACUCAAGUACUGUUAUUUAGCUUGCAAGGCUGGUGAUCCUCGGCAUGGAGAAACGAGGAACCCAGACGUUGGAGAUUUUUUAAUUUCUUCAUAUGUAAAAAUGGAUCUUGGUAAGUAGUUCCCUCAUGUAUGAAGAUGUGCCAUGUGGCUAGUGCCAUCAAACUCUUGUUACCCCAACCAAUAUACUAACUGCAAUAUUCUUUAACUACUCAAUCAGAACUGCUCCUCAUACUGGCAUGUUACCGAGAUGUUUCCUUGGUGUUUCCUCUGACAAAUAAUUUAUGGAACCAUUUAUUAAAAAUUGUAUCUAUGUGGUUUGACUGAACCCUAGGAAUGUAACCCUACGUGCAUGGACUGUUCCAAGUUCAUGGUAAAUUAAGCAGCCCAAUGUGUUAAUGCAAUUGCUAUUCCUUGUAGGCAUCACGAAAUGUUCAGACUAAAUUUGAUAUAUCUUAUAAUUCUACUUGAAAAGAUGAAUAAGGCAACAAGCCAUUCAAGGAAUUGCCAGUCUGAAGCCAUGUAGUGAGUUGAGAAACACAAUUGCGUUAGUUGCAGCCAAUUCAGAGGCAUGCCCGAUGAAUGUGGUUCAGAACAGUGAAUAUUUGUGUAUUUGUUCAAAAAGGCUAAAUAGUGUUAGUUUCUGCCACAAGUACAUAUACAGCUAUACUAAACCUGAUACAUGCAUUAUAACUUACUUUCACGCUGAGUUUUUUUUCCAUUGUCUGGGAUAGAAACCUGUGCGCUGACAUUCUUUUUGUGUUGGCAACCUUCUGCUUCUGGUGUUAUAAAGCUGUCUUCAUUUUUACUCAGUGCCUCUAAGAGCAUUGUUGCGGAAUGGUUUACCGAAAGUUUUGGACACCGCAGCUGAUACUGUUAUAUCGACAGUUGAAUCCAGCAGCUGCUUACGCAUUCAGUUCUUAAUUAAAAAAAAGAGUGACGUCAGGAGCUAUAACCUAGAUUGAUCUGAGGUGUUGCAUUUGCUGGCUAUUCUUUAUGCAAACCAGAGCUAGGCUCGACAGAAACUAACUUCCACCUGAUGGGAUUUGUUUUUCAGCGCUGUAGAAAUAUAUCUGCACAAGUAUAUCAAGAUUCUACUGCUGAACUGUGCUACCGAAGAGGUUUCUGCCCUGGGAGCAGAUAAUUAAA
This is a long non-coding RNA of Triticum aestivum (bread wheat), 2442 nucleotides long. RefSeq lists it as uncharacterized. The record is from RefSeq and is a predicted model, not a curated record. Lineage: Eukaryota; Viridiplantae; Streptophyta; Magnoliopsida; Poales; Poaceae. The transcript is spliced from 2 exons.